AACGCACCUUGCGCUCCUUGGUAUUCCGAGGAGCAUGCCUGUUUGAGUGUCAUUAAAUUCUCAACUCUUAAUUCUUUGCUGGAUUAUGAGCUUGGACUUGGAGCGUGCUGGCUUUUGCAAGUCGGCUCCUCUUCAAAUGCAUUAGCGGAUUUUACUUCUCGCAAAAAACUCGGCGUGAUAAUUGUUAUGCUGUGUAUGAGCUUGAAGAGCUGCUUCUUAACUGUCCUUCUGGGACAAUAUUGACCAAUUUGACCUCAAAUCAGGUAGGACUACCCGCUGAACUUAA
This 286-nucleotide unclassified non-coding RNA is filed under the name uncultured fungus. RNAcentral describes it as "sequence contains ITS2". The stretch from base 1 to 52 matches the Rfam family "5.8S ribosomal RNA", at positions 103 to 154 of the family's 154-position model. Lineage: Eukaryota; Fungi. The record is from RNAcentral.